RNAcentral lists this long non-coding RNA (2898 nucleotides) under Gossypium barbadense (sea-island cotton). RNAcentral describes it as "long non-coding RNA (GBAR_LNC018277)". Lineage: Eukaryota; Viridiplantae; Streptophyta; Magnoliopsida; Malvales; Malvaceae. The record is from RNAcentral.
UCAACUUUUAUGAAAUUGUGGAUAAAUUCGAGCUCUCAUCGCACUGACCCGUCUAAGUUUGAAGGUUACCUGAAAGUAGCAGACAAACAGAGAGUGAGUUUAUAACUCAGUGUGUAACUUAACAGAAAUAGAUUCACAAAUUUAAUACAUAACAUACACUGACAAAUGUCUCAUGCAGAAUCAGAGUCAUAUGCAAAUUACAAUCCUACCCCCAUCCGUUACACACCAUCUUCGACCAUCCUAACACACCAUGUGAGGUACAAAACACCUACUCAGCCCUACACACCAGUUAGUGUCCUUACGACACUUUUCAAAAAAAUUGCAGCAGUGGUGCCAGUAUAUUGGCGAGUCAUUGCCUCACAUAGAACACUUCCUCCUCAUAAUACAUAACCCGCCCCAUAAUUAGAUACAGAUAGAAAACCAGAUAUAACAGAAUAACAGAUACCAGAAUGUAUAUCACAUGCAUGCUCGCAUAACAGAUAUUAAACAUGCUCAUACAUAACAGAUCAAACAUAUAACAUCUCAUUACAUGUACUUAGGUGUUGUUUACAUUAAAUUCAUACUAUCAAAUUAGCAAAUUUCAUGCUUUAGGGCUUAUAUAAACACGUAUUGACCCCACGGAAGACCCACAGUCGAUCGAGACGACGUGUACGACUCUAGGGAAAAUUUUUGAAAUUUGGGCCCACACAUGCCACAUGCCUGUGUGGCCCACACGACCCAAAAUGGCCUAGGCCGUGUCACACGGCCAUGUGGCGUCGACAAGCUUCAAUUUUAAUUUUUGCCGAUCGCUAUUUUUUGAGUUUUUCGUUACUCACCUUGACUUUUUUUAUGCAAAUCCACCCACAAAGCUUCCAUAUCCUAAAACGUCAAUAAACACACCGAAAUUAAGAACAAUUCAUGAAACUUGUAUCAAGAAUUAUUCACAAACAACCUCACAUGGCCCCAAAAUAUUCGAACACCUACUGAUAAAGCAAACAACAAUUAACGAUACCUAAGUCGUUGGAGUAACGCCAAGCGUCGUUCAAUCCUCUCCUAAAACCACAUAAUACCAAUUAACCAAACACCCAGAGAAGAAAUCAACCCUUACGAUUCAAACUCAGUAUCCAAAUGGAACCAAAAAUACCAUACUAUCGAAAGAAAAAAUUACACACUUACCCUACGAAUUAGAAAUACCCAAAAAAUAUCGAACAAGAGAUUAAUCACCACACCCGCGUGAAUACUUGAAUCCAAAAAGAAAUACAAGCCCCCCACCAAACAGUUUUUGACGAAAAAUAGUAAAAAGAAUUAAUUCGAGAGGGAAAAGGCAUAAAAAAAAAGAACAAAGAACAAUUUGCAAAACUCCACUUGACAGCACUUGGAACGUGAAACGUGGGUAGUGAUUUUAGGAGAAAAAAAAUAUAAUAGUUUCCAAAUAAAACAAAAACCUAACCCCUAACUUCCUGAUAUCUCAACAACUAUUUUAAGAGUUUUAAUCCAAUUCCAACACCACCAAUAUGAACAACACACCAAGGAUUAACAAAAAUAAUCACACUUUAAUCACAUAGGAGAUUCGAACUCUAAACCCGUAUCACAACCGCUAAAGCAGGCACUCAAUUAAUGUCUGAAUUUAACAAAGCCGAACUUAAGAUUUUUAGGGCGUUACAUACUAAAUCAUCAAAUAGAUUUAAACAUACUUAAGAAUUAUAGACGUACCUCAUUGUUCGACGAGUUCUUUAGUCUACAUAUAGUUGUUAGUCCAUCAAUUUAUCAAACAAAUCAACAUGCCAUCACAAUUCAAACAUCUAAUCAUUUAAUCAAGCAGUUAUAAAAUAUUCAGAAGAAAAAAAAUACAAAUUAAUCAACAGUCUUUAUGUUCAAUUUACAACCCAUCACCAUUUGUUAAAAAAUUUUAAGUCUAAUCUAGUCCCUUGGAAUAGUCCCAUUUUGCCUUUCUUAUUGAGGUUUGGAAACAUGACACAUACUCAGGAAAUUUGCCUUGCAAUGGAUCACUAGAAAUCCCCACUUCUUAAUGCCUCAUGAGCUACUUUUCUGUACAACGAAAAUAAGGAGUGUGAGCUUAUUGAAGCUCAGUGAGUGCACAAAAUAUGCUACAAGUGAACACAUCAAUCAUGUUAAAAGUAAGCAUGCUAUACAAUUUGUACAAAAGUACAACUUGGAUGAUAACAAAGACAUAAUAGCUCGCAAUAAAUUACAAUGUCAUAUAGCUCGCAUGAUAAAAUCAGUUUGCAUAACAUAACACAAUCAUAACAUAUAAUAUCAAUAUAUUGGCAAUUUGUGACUGUGGAACAUAAUCAUAAAACAUAUUCAUUGGAUAAUCGAAUCUCCAUUCACACCCAAUAACUCAUAGAGUCCUGCACUAUCUCCAGCAAAUGUAGCACAAGUGCACACUCCCCAAACACACCAUGCUAUCUACGGUGAAUGGAGUUAUACUUUAUAUUCCUUUAUCUCUCUAAUGCUAUCUUCGGGCCACAAUGCCCUAUCACAAUAUAAAUGAGAGUACUCACAAUCCUAUGGCAUGACAAUAGAUCUCGCAUGUAACUUAGCUCACAAUUAUUCAAUAGUUCGUAUAAACAAAGCAUAUCUCACAUAUAAUCUUAAUUCGCAUAUGGGAUAGCUCGCAUAUAUCAUAAAGUUUCACAAUACACAGCUCACAUAAAUAAGGCUUGGUUCAUAAUACAGUAAAAAAUUGCAACAAAUAUAUAAGCAUAAAUUACAUAUGAAUACUUACUCCUAAAAAUUCGGUUAAAUGGUUACACCACCUAAGCUUACCAUUAAUACUUGACGUGUGACUGCACUAUGUAAUGCACACACCUAUCAUGGCUUUUUUGCUUUACCGAGCCUAGGUAAACUUCAGCUUGCCUUUGUCUUUGCUUGAGGAAACUCCUUCGCGAUCUGAUG